Molecule: small RNA, 148 nt
Filed under: Pongo abelii (Sumatran orangutan)
Lineage: Eukaryota; Metazoa; Chordata; Mammalia; Primates; Hominidae
Description: Metazoan signal recognition particle RNA (ENSPPYG00000035768.1)
Rfam family: Metazoan signal recognition particle RNA
About the family: The signal recognition particle (SRP) is a universally conserved ribonucleoprotein.
Source: Rfam by way of RNAcentral
GCUGGGCAUGGUGGCGCAUGCCUGUAAUCCCAGCUACUUGGGAGGCUGAGGCAGGAGAAUUGCUUGAACCCGGGAGGCAGAGGUUGCAGUGAGCUGAGAUCUUACCAUUGCACUCCAGCCUGGGUGACAGAGCAAGACUCUGUCUUGG